UUGACCAUAGCAAAAAAAUGAAAUGCUUCCUCUCUCCUCCCCUUUCCCAUCCUGUAGGAAGGGGGCCAUGAAAACAAAUUCUUUUCCACAGGCAGAGUCUGGCCUUCUAACUCUCAAGUCUUUACCUUACAAAUUCAAGUCGAAAGUCAUUUCAUCUCUUUUGGAACCUGUAACCAUGAGCUAGCUCUACCUGUCUUUCAGAAGAGUUCAUCACUGACUGUUUCCGUAUCUUCAGAUGACCAGGCCAGCAUGGUCGGACUCAGACCCUGGACAGAGGAAGAAGAUCUGGAGGAGGAAAACCUCUAUAGCACAAUCCAGCAAAGGAUGAAAAACUGGCUUCUGUGGAGCAUCUUCAAAGUCAUCAAAGACAUACCCCUAGGCCAGUAGGUUUGUGUACGCCCAUCUGACCCCAGCCAUGUAGUGCCGGUGUUUUAUCUGAAGUGUGACUCUGACUUUUCUUGAAAACAACUGUUGGCUUUCAUCCAUGGCUGGGGCAUCAUCCACAGCUGAAUCAUCAUCCAUGGCUGGGGCAUCAGGGACAUCAUUCACAGAUGGGCAUCAUCCACUGCUGGGGCAUCAUAUCAUCCACUGCUGGGGCAUCAUCCACACCUGGGGCAUCAUCCACUGCUGGGGCAUCAUCCACUGGUAGGACAUCAUCCACGCCUGGGGCAUCAUUCACUGAUGGGGUAUCAUCCAUGCCUGGGGCAUCAUCCACUGCUGGGGCAUCAUCCAUGCCUCUGGUAGCUCUGCAGGAAGGUUGCCAACUCACCAUUGCUUUCUCCAGGUUCCAGAGGCUUCCAUUUAAAGGAGCGACUCUCCCAACUCUACUGGAAUGUACUGGAAACUAUGUU
Molecule: non-coding RNA, 851 nt
Organism: Callithrix jacchus (white-tufted-ear marmoset)
Lineage: Eukaryota; Metazoa; Chordata; Mammalia; Primates; Cebidae
Source: RefSeq, a predicted model, not a curated record